CAUCUACUGUUCACUGAACCAGCCUUCAAAAGUUUAGUACAAAAGCUGCACAAUGUAAGCUAAAACAAGUCAAGUUAUACAAAAGUUUUGUCUUUUUUAUCCUACUAUGGAUGAAAUUACUGCACACUGGCUUCCUCCGAAGAAGCACGAUAACAGCUACUGCCUGAUGGUGCCAGGAUUUGAACAGCUUAAGGCAUGAAGCUUGGCAGGUGCACAGGCAGUACACGACUUAGCAACUCUACUUUAAACUACAAGUUCUACAUCUCAGCAUUUCUGCUAAGCAGUGAUAUGUCUCUGCUUGGCGUUCACAACAAGGGCAGUCUACUAAAGUGUCCAGCUAUCUUCAGAGUUCCACCCUCUUGUACGAUUUUACUCUUAUGUACACCAACGUGUAUAUGGAAAAAUCAGAGUUAUACGUGGAUUACAGAUUGAUGGCUCGUCUACUAUCUAGUUACUCUGGUUGAAGCCGGACAUGCGGGCAAGGCCUAUCUGGCUCUCCUCUUGUCCAUAGAUGCUUGAGAUCACCUCUUUGCUUUCCCAACGUCAAAAAUGUGCCUAGUGUGAAAGGAACAAUGUAAAGCAAAGCAGGUUGACCAUGACCAUCCAUCAAAUUCAAUGCCACAUAAGUUGUGAGCAAACCUAAACCAUAAGCAAGCAUAGCCCACAAGAAGUAUCCAUCUCGAAGUUUCUUAUUACACAACCAGUCGUACCUUAAAGAAAAUGCUACCAGUAAACCUGGUAAAAUUAUGUCACCAAACCCAAUGAUACUGUAGCCAUGCCAAGGAUCAAACAACCGUGGGAACAGUUCUUCUGAGUUGUUCUUUAUUGUAUGACCUUUUCUGGGUGUUUCUUUCCAAAAGUCUGUUCCAUAAGAGUGUGAUGA
Molecule: unclassified non-coding RNA, 883 nt
Filed under: Hevea brasiliensis (rubber tree)
Lineage: Eukaryota; Viridiplantae; Streptophyta; Magnoliopsida; Malpighiales; Euphorbiaceae
Source: RNAcentral